UCAAUUGAAAUUGAGCAACGAAACUGUAUUGAUCGAGCACAAGAACAGUACUGUUGUCGUCCAUGGCUACCAUCACUGGUGUUGAUGAUGUGAGCAAGAACCACCCACUUAAAAAACUUGUUGAACUGACUCAAAAGGAGAAGAAGAACACUGUGAUCCUCAAUCAUCUAAGCUUGUUUGGUCCUGAAGCAGAGGUUCACCUAUGUAAUUAUAGGGACUGCACGGGUAAGGAAAAGCAGAAGGCACACCGUAUCCUUGAGGAAAUGAAGGCACACCAUAUCCU
Molecule: long non-coding RNA, 283 nt
Organism: Capsella rubella
Lineage: Eukaryota; Viridiplantae; Streptophyta; Magnoliopsida; Brassicales; Brassicaceae
Exons: 3
Source: RefSeq, a predicted model, not a curated record